GGAGAGGUGGCCGAGUGGCUGAAGGCGCACGCUUGGAAAGCGUGUGUACGUGAAAGCGUACCGAGGGUUCGAAUCCCUUCCUCUCCG
This 87-nucleotide transfer RNA is filed under the name Bdellovibrionales bacterium. RNAcentral's name for it is "tRNA-Ser". It matches the Rfam family "tRNA". Rfam says of the family: Transfer RNA (tRNA) molecules are approximately 80 nucleotides in length. Lineage: Bacteria; Pseudomonadati; Bdellovibrionota; Bdellovibrionia; Bdellovibrionales. The record is from RNAcentral.